CCAUCGUAGACGGCUUCUUCUUGCACAAGAGAGCAUUGAUCAAUCCUUUGCGAUUUAUCUCCAUCUUGAUUACGUUUGUCUUCUCCAUCUUCUUCAAUCUCGAUCAACAUCGCCGCAACCUAGCACUCUGGUACCACCUGGUGUUGAUACCAAUUGUGCACUUUGGUACCAGCUUGGCUCUGAUACCAAACGCAUACUCCGGUACCAUCUGGCUCUG
Molecule: long non-coding RNA, 217 nt
Filed under: Elaeis guineensis (African oil palm)
Lineage: Eukaryota; Viridiplantae; Streptophyta; Magnoliopsida; Arecales; Arecaceae
Description: long non-coding RNA (EGUI_LNC011953)
Source: RNAcentral